UUCUCUUGGGGAAAAAAAAAAAGUUAAAAAGAUAAUAACAUUGAGAGGAGAUUGGGUAAGUAGAAGACUUAAUUCUAGCCAUACAUUUGAGGAGAAACAUGGGAAAUAUAAUUUCAAAUAAAGAGAAUCCAACCAAGAGGUAAUAAUGGUGACCAAAUUUCCCUCCCACCUGAAACUGGUGACUGGCCCACAAGACCAUAUUAAAAUAAUAACCUCUAUAAUUUGGCAUGACGUAGGUGCCCAGGACACAAAAAUAUGGUCUUUAAGACCAUGUAUCUCAGACAAUGAAGGACAGCCAUCCUUAAAAGAUGAGAAGCAAACACUGAGCCUUCUAACAGCCUAGCUUACUGCCUUGGGAGGUUUCCAGCCCACAAGACUUGGAGGGGUAACUCAGGUGGAGCUUGGCAUGGAGAUGGAGUUGAGGCUCUGGAGAGACCAAGGCAGCCCUGUUCUAAGGACAAAGUAUCAGAAAAGAGAGAGCUGCUCAGAGAGAGAAUGACAGAUAUUCUGCAUGGAAACCCCCUCUGGUAUUUAACUUAGUACUGAUCAGCUCAUGCAUGUGAGGAAACUACCUAAGGCUAGAAAAAGAACCACCCGAAAGGAUUUAGAGGAAGAGUGCCCAGUACUUGCAAAAAGUUGGGAAUAGUUCCCAAAAGUCAGAUUGGAAAGGCUCGAGAUUCACAGGCCAUUGGGUAGAGAGUUUCAUAGUGAGGAAACUCAGUAGUGGGGAAUAAUUAGCCCUAGAAUGAGCAUUGAUCCGAUGCACCUAACAAAUCUUAACAGCAAGACCCGGAAGGACCAAACUGCUUCUAAGUACUCGACGGCACCCCACAACAAAGUUCAAGAACACUUCUGAGAAUAAAAUAUAUCCAGCGCCCAAUAAUGUAAAUUUCACAUCUGGCAUCUAAUCAGGCAAGCAAAGAAGACAGAAAAUAUGAUCUGAAGUGAAGAGAAAAAUGUAUCAAUCAAAACAUACCCAGAACAGACACAGAUACUAGAAUUAGCAGACAAGGACAUUACAAUCAUUACUAUAAAUAUAUUCCCUUUGUUCAAAAAGUUAAGUAGAAUGAUGGAAGAUAUAAAAAAGACCCACAUCCCACUUCUAGAGGUGAAAACAUCAAUGUGUGAAAUGGAAAACUCACUAGAUGGGAUGAGUGUCAGAUUAAAUAUUAGAGGAGAAAAAAUUAAUAAACUUGAAGACAUAGCAAUAGAAACUACCCAAAAUGAAACACAGAGAGAAAAGAGACUCAAAAAGAAUAGUUCAUCCUUGAGCUGUGAGAAAAUGUCAAGCGGCCAAUACAUGUAAUUGGAGUCUCCAAAUGAGGGGGGGGGGGGAAAUUAUGUGAAGAAAAAUGGUUGAAAGUAUUGAAAAUCUGAUGAAAACUGUAAACCAAUAGAUACAGGAAGUUCUACAAAUCCCAUCUCUAGAAACAUGAAGAAAAUAACACCGGGACACAUUAUAACCAAAUUCUUCAACACCAGUGAUACAGAGAAAAUCUUAAAAACAGAGGAAAAAGAUAAACUCCAUAUCUUAAUAUAUGAAAAAGGAUCAGAGAUAAAGAAUCAAAGAUGAAGAAACAAAGAUGAAGAUCACAGCAGGUUUCUGCUCAGAAGCAACUCAGUGAGGAGACGGAAGAGAAAAUCUCUGAAGAAAAAUAGACAAAUCUAUAUAAAGGCAAUCAUGUAUAGUUAGUAACAUGUAUUUAGAAAAGAAACUAAAUUAUUUAAAUACAGCAAAUUGUGUUGGAUGCUAAGGAGACUACAAAAACCUUAGACCCCUCAGCUACAUUGCAAAAGGCUUAUAUAAAUAAUCACUACUUAUUCUUCUAACUCUAGCUUUUAUGGCUUUAUUUGUUUUAACUGGUCCACAAAUCCAUAUUAAAAUAAUAAUAAUAAAUUCUAUAAUUUGGUGUGACCCAGGUAUCCAGGGUACAAAAUAAAAAGUACCAGAUUCCUGGGCUUGGGAAAUACACAAAUCUACCUUAAAUCUUUUUUUUUUUUUUUGGAUCUGGGUGUCUGUAAAUAAAUAACAAUGAAUAGUACAGGCCACAUGGUAAGUACUAGAACAGAGGCAUGUUUUACCUGGGGAGAUAAAACUACACAGAUGAGGUGGCACUUGAACACUGAGGUUAAGGAGAUCCCUCCACCCUGCAAAGGAUACAGGCAGGGAUGCAGUGCAGGCUGUGCCAGGACACAGGUGCCAAAGAGCCUUCAAAUCUCUAUGGUGAAUGCAAACGUCAAGAGUGCAUCUUGGAAACUGGUAUCCAAGGAAGCUUGACCUUCCAACAGGUCACCGAUUCAAUUAUGAAGGGAUUUCCAUGUCAUGUAAACAGACUGGUUUCCAAUCUGUAGGAAGCAAGGAACAAUGAAAGGAUUUACUUGUAGUAUAAAAAGAAUUUGUGUUUUUAUAUAAAAAUAUGAAGGAUAAUGCAAUAGCUUCCCCUGAGUCAUCCAUCCAAAUUUUCUCGUCUUAUGAAAUGAUUUUAAGUAGAGGAGUAAUAAGUAAAUGAUCAUGUUAGCGUUCUGAACAUAUCACAAGGGUAGCAAUAUGUGUGGAUGAUUGGAAGAUGGAAGAUAAGGAAUAACAUUUUGCAACAUUGCAGAGAAGAAAUCAUCCCCUAGGACUUCCCUGGUGGUGCAGUGGUUAAGAAUCCACCUGCCAAUGCAGGGGACACGGAUUCGAGCCCUGGUCUUGGAAGAUCCCACAUAUGGCGGAGCAACUAAGCCCGUGCACCACAACUACUGAGCCUGCGCUCUAGAGCCCGUGAGCCACAACUACUGAAGCCCACGUGCCACAACUACUGAAGCCCACGCGCCUAGAGCCCGUGCUCCACAACAAGAGAAGCCACCACAAGGACAACACUGCGCACUGCAAUGAAGAGUAGUCCCCGCUCGCCGCAACUACAGAAAGCCGGAGGGCAGCAACGAAGACCCAACGCAGCCAAAAACAAAUAAAUAAAGAAAUAAGUUUAUUUAAAAAAAAUACUCAUUAGAAAAACAAAGAAAUCAUCCCCUAAACUAAAGCAAUGGCAAUGGGGGUAGAUAGGGGCAUCCAAGCUAGAUAUACUUAGGAUUGUAAAAUUGAAAGAGGACUUCCCUGGCAGUCCAGUGGUUAAGGCUCCACACUUCCACUGCAGGGGGAUACAGGUUCGAUCCCUGGUCGGGGAACUAAGAUCCCACAUGCCAUGCCGUGCUUCUUUUUGGGGAAAUCAAAGAUUUUUUUUUUCAAUAUCAGAAUGUUAUUCAAGAUGGGCUCAAAUGCUGAGGUGGGGGAAAGAAUAUUUUAGUUGGAAGGACUUGGAUAAGAAAUGGUACAGAAUCAGGAAGGGCCACAUAACAUCUCAAAAACAGCAACCACCCUAGUGGGACUUAAAAAAAGUGUCCUCACCAGGGAGGAAAAAGAAGGAGAAAGAGGCUGAUGUGGACGAAGGGCUUUAAACUGCCAGCCAAGAUGUGGGGAAUCAUUGGCAGUGUCUGAACGGGAGACAGGGUAUGUGGUUUAGGAUGGUUGAGAGGGAAGAGGCAGGGAGCUUGGUUACUAAACUGUCACAAUUGUCCAUCUGAUGGGUAAUAAAUAAAGGAGCUGGCAUGGUAGCAGUUGGAGCAGACAGAUGCGAGAGACAUCACAGAAGCAACGUGUUAGGGAGGGAAAAAAAUGUUGUAGGAUUUCUGGAAAGCCAGAAAGCCUCAGGCUCUAAAUUAUUAGGUCCUCUUCAAGUUUCCUCUUGUUAUCCAUGAACUCCAGCCUGGAGUUAGUAAUCUGGGCCUAUUCAUGCCAGCAUGUCACAAAAAGAUAUAUAAGGAGAUACAGAAGUUCACAAAUAGGCAUGUACAUAGAUAUAAAGAUACACAGAUAGACAGAUACCAAGCUACAUCGACUGAUCCAGGCACAGCGCAUAAUUGGAAGGAUACCUGUUUGUUAUCCCAGAAUUCAAACAUACCUUACAAGGAGGGAGAAAAUGUUGCAAACGUUGGCUCCAGAUUCUUCUAAAGAACUGGGUGAUAGGUCAGAACGUGAGUGGGAUGAACAAGGGUUCAAGCUUUUCCAAACCAGUUCUUCUAUCUCUCCAUGACAGAGCAUUACCAGUAUAACAGGCUUGCCUGUUGAUGGAACGUAAAGACAUACCUACUCCUUCCCAGAUGCCCUGAGUCCAUUUAUGUGCACACAGAAACCCAGUCCUAAGCUCUCUUCCUAAACACACACCAAUGGUACAGUGAGCGACGUUCCAUUGUGCGGUCAACCAUGCUAGGGCUUCGAGCCUCUGGGAAGUUCCAGGCGUUUCCAAGCCUCCGGCUCAGGACACUUACACUACCUCUAAAACUUUCAUGAGAGCUAUAAUCCCCCGCUAAAGGCAAGCAACAGCAAUCUGAUGGCGAAGGCAGUUUGCAUAUUUCAUCAGUGCAACGAUCCCACUCUCAGGCGCCAGGUUCUUUGUUAUGGAAGCACUCUCGAAUUACGAGGUAGCUAAGUUGGGUUUAUUAGUUCAUGCUUAUGAUAACAUAGUAAUAGCAAUUAAUUCAAUCACGUUCAAAGGAAAUAGCAUAAGGAUCCUACACUGUGAUUUAGAAGGCAGAGGUAAUUAUAGCUCUACCCGAUAAUUGUAUGGUGGAUCUAUCUCUGUAAGCCUGCCACUGGACGAUGCUAUGCAGCUUUCAUUGGGGAACCUGGGAGCCAAGGCAAACUUCAGGGGCAUUAACCCAUAAAAACCUGAACUUCUGCUGGAAAAACAAAGUGAAGAUCUCAUCUCUGGUGAUUUUAACGAGAAGGACAAAAAGGAUUUAAAAGGAAGAAGAUGAAUACGGCAGGUAAUGGGAACUCAUCUAGGAAGAAAAUUCUUAGUUCCUCCUAAUUGAUUUUGAAUUGAGUGAACAGCAUCUUGUUAAGACUUCCUCUAUGGGGAGGUAGUCUCUGGCCCCUUGUAUCUGGCUACCUGCCAAAAUAACUCCCCUUGCCCUGUUCUGCUGUUCUCACACGAGAAUGAAACAGCUUGGCAUUAGAGUCACAACCUGGGUUUGAAUAUUGCCUACUUGCCAGUGAAUGAUUUUAGAUAAAUUACCUGCCCCGUCAAUGUCAGUUUUCUCAUCUCUAAAUUGGAACAAAUAACUAACUUCAAUUAUUAAUGAGGUAGCAUGUAAAAAUGCUAAGCGAACUCUAAAUACCAAAAAAAUCAUUCUACCAUAUAUUUGUUACCUGCUACACUGUGAUCAUAGGAAUGCAACAGUAUUAUAUCAGAAACACUGAAAUGUUUUUAAUCAGAAGUUUAUGAAAACUAGUAUGUAUUACUUUCUAAACAAUCAUAUUUAAAAUUUUUGCUAUCAUCCCUGUUACAGGAGCUCCAUUUCAGCUGGUUAUUAAUGAAGACGCUAUGUAAGAAGGCUAUAUGAAGAAAUAGUUGCAUAGCUAAGUACAAAAAUAUUAUGUAGUCAACCAUGGUUACUGCCUAGAUGAUGAAACAAAGUAUGCCUGAACUGAAAUAUAAACAUCUCUAACAUUGUGGUCUACAAUAAACUUUCAUGUCUCAGGAGAGGAGGUUAGAUGGGAUUCUCUCACUAGUCUUAAAAUAUUUGUCUAUCAGAUUAGCAUAUUUGUAAUAACGUGUGGAACACUAAUAUCAUUUCCUGUUAUAAAGAAACAAAACUAACUAGAUCUUGAUGUUCAUUUCCCCAAAAUAUCUGACCCCCAAAGAAGAUGUUUUCAGUUUAUGAAAGGGGACAUGAAAUGAGAAUGGGCAAGAAAGAAACUAAUAAGCGAUGUCUGGGGUUAAGACUCUUUAGAAAUUUUCUUAGGGCUUUGGAACCAGACAAGUGUCUGCUCAAACCUGACACCAAACUUAACCUCCCCCAGUCCCCAGCCAAUUUGGAUGAAAAUCAGCUUUGCUUUAGGCUUAGCUAUAUAAGAAUCUGUAUUGUCAUUCCUAGACCUGUUUAAGCCCUUUUAAUAGAUCAAGUCAGGAUGGUACCUUCAUAAUUUAGUGUUGUGAAUAGUGCAAAUAAAGCCUUCAAUGGCAUCUAAUCAGAACAUUUUCUUUUCUCUUCCCUAAGACCAUUAUUCCAUAGAGGUCCAGAUUUCCCCAGCCUGUCAGUCAUUACAACUACAAGCUGCCCAAGCUCAUUUGAAAGCCAUCAAGUAGCUAAUUUGCCAAGAUGGAUUCAAAAGACAUGAGACAGCUUACGGUUGUGGUCUCUCUGACCCCUCCCACACAAAGCAGCGUUCUGAAGCCCGCGGGGAAUUUCUUUUGCUGAUGGCGGGCUAUUGUUUAAACACUGAUUGCCUCUUUUUUCUGUCAUUCACUUUUUUCCCCUUCCCUGAACUCCGCCACCAUCAGUCACAGACUUCAUUCAUAGCCCACCGGCUGAAAGUUCCGUGCUCAACACACUGACAAAAUAAGCCAUUUAUAGGUCAGAGCUAGAGGAGAAAAAAAUCACACUCGUAGAUAUUAACGAAGCCUUGAGUGAAUUUUUCUUAUCGACUCAAAAGACUUAUGUGCUUUUUAUGCCAAUGAACUCUGGCAUAUACAACAGAAAAUGAGGCAAUUCAUGUUAAAGUAAUUUCAUAAUGCCAAAAAAAAGAACUAUACAGAUACAAGGUAUUUGAGAAGUAUAUGGUAUAUUUCAUUAGGGUCUAAAGAGACCCUGGACCAUUUUCCCCAGCCUACUUUGCACAGAGCAAGUACUAGGGAUUGGUGGUCCAGACAAGGGACAGAGAUUUUAGAAUCAGACCUAGGUGUGUGAAUUGUGAGUUGAUCCCUUAUUCGUGAUCCUGGAAAACUUACUUAAUUUCCCUGGGCCUCAAUUCCCUAUUCGAAUAAAAGGGGGGUAACAUUACCUACCUCGCGGUGUUGCUGGGAGUGAUAAUGAACUAAUUUACAUAAAAUAUUUCACAAUCUCUGGCAGGUCACGAACUAUCAGUGAAUAGUAGCUAUUACUGUUACUGUUUUAUUGUUACUAUUUCUUUCUAUUCUGUGCAGUAGAAGCUACUUUUCUCAUAGAAGGUAACACAGAAGAGUAAUAAUAAUAAACACAUCUGUGAUAUUAACUAUGUGCCAUGCAUAGUUAAUGGAUCAUUCUAUAAAGAAACUGAGGCAUGGAGAGGGAAAGUAAGGUGCCCAAAGUUACAUAAUUAGUAAGUGGGGAAGCUGGAAUUGAACCCAAGCAGUCUGGCUGCAUUACUCUCUGAAAUAAAUUUAUUCUAAAUGCAGGUAGGUAUCUGCCACACUGGCGGUACUUACAGUUCUAAGAAACAGAAACACACUGAAACAAACAUGAAAUCAAAGAGUUGAUUGUAAGCCCAACAGAGACCCUUGAGACCAUGAAACUCAGGUUCCUAGUCAUGACAUCCGAGAGCUAGAACCAGAGACUAGUUCUGACUUCAAGGCAUUUCAGAAGCAACAGUUGUACCCACACUGUGCAGCUUCUCCCGUUUCCAUCUUCAGAACCAAGCCCCUACUUUCUCCAAUAAAUCUUUCAAUUCUGUUCCCCUGCAGUUCAGUUCCUCCAUAAUCCAACUGGAUAUUCCAAGGAAAGGAAUCAUCAUGAUGCAGUUUAAGGGGUGAUGUCUGUCCCUGGACCAAUCAGCUCUGCCUCAAGAAUCAGGGUCCACACCACAUACAUCACUGCCAAUAUUCUCUUAGAAGCUUAAGGGAAAAGAACUAUCUACAGGGAUCCUGGCUGAUACAGAAUGUCAGAUGGUGAUAGUAUGAUGGAGAAAAAAAUAAUAGAGUGGAGAAAGGGGACAGGAAGUGCUGAGGAAUCUCUCCACAGCACAAUGGUGUGCUUUCCACAUCAAUAAUCACAAGUAUUAGGUUGACGGAGGCAGAUAACCAGGGAUGUACACCACCAAGAAUGCCCAUUUCUCAGGGCACCAUUACAUGGUGUAUCGUGGCCAGAGCGCUGGAUCUGAAAGCAAAGGCCUGAGUCUUAUCCCAUCUCUGUCUGCGAUGAGAGCAAGUUCCAUCCUACCGGUGCAUGUCCACGUCCCCAUCCAAGAAAGGAGACAGUUGGAUUGUAUUCAUAGGUAUUAAACUGUGCACCUCAGAAGUGUUAUUAAGCGUUUCUUGAAAGACUUGUGCGGUCAAAUAAUUUGGGGGUAUCACUGAAUUUCACACGCACACACAGAGCACAUUCUUGGAGAUUUGCAAUAUGCGUUCACGUAUCAAAUGCCUCCUUGAGACACUCUGAAAAACGUUUACAACAAAUAAAUUGAUUUAGUAAUGUUUCCCAAACAUAUUUCCCCAAGAAUACUAUGUGUGUUCAAAUAGUUCAGGUAGCGCUGGACAAAAGUUUUCAAAGGGCCUUCCAACUACCAUCAGGCCCGCCCCGUCAGGUGAGCCAGGCUUGUUACUGGUGUCAGAGGCUAGUGGCUAAAUCUGGGGCCUAAGAAACAGACGACCUGGGCUCAGACCCAUAGCUUCUCUGCUUCCUUGCUUUGUGACCUCAGUUCUGUUAUUUAACUUCUCUGUACUUGGUUCCUUCACUGUAAAACUGAGAUAAUAAUAUCAUCUGUUUCUUAGGGUCGUUAUGAGGAUUGAAUGAGUUAACAAAAUAUAUCAAACUCUUAGCAGAUUACCUAAGCCCUAGUAAGUGCUAUAGACGUGUUAGCCUUGUUGUUCAAUAUUAUAAACCCUUGUCAGAUGCAAUGAUCUAAGAGAAGGAAGAUUAGGUGAAGGAAAUUGAUGUUUACAGAGCAUCUACUGUAUGUCCGUGAUGUACAUACGUAAUCUCAUAAACCGUCAUAAUAAAACUGAGAUCAAAAUAUAAUUAUUUCAUUUUACAGUGAGUAAAAUAAAACUCUGAGACGCUAAGGAAUUUGCCUUUUAUUACCCAGAUAUUAAGAUGAAAAAUUAACCCCCAAAUUCAGGUAUCCCUGACUUCAAAACUCAAGUUCUUUCCACCACAUUAUACUGCUAUAAAGGGUGAAAAGGAAUAAACUUUCCAUCAUUUAAUAGAUGAAGAAAUAAGGUAGACAAACUAAAAUAGAUCCUAGGAUCAUGAGGUAAGAUUCAAAUUGAAAAGCUAUCCAUAUUCUGUCAACCAGCCCUAUAAUGUAUUCAUUACUGGACCCUAAAAGUAGAAGGAACUGUGAAAAGGAAAGAAGGGACUAUCUCUAAUUUUGAUCUGGUUACAAUUUUUUUAAUUAAGGAUACUUUAUCUCUUAAUUCAGUACCUACUGUAUGGAUUAUGUCCCAUUUUAGCAGAGAUUUGGCUCUCCCCUACCUAACUCAGAUUAUGUUUUUAGAGAUGCAUAGGUUUGAAGUAGACAUUUAAAGGUCAAAUUAAUUCUACUGCCUCCAGAAAGGAUUGGAUCAAAAUAAUUCUCAAACGAUAAUCCUUCACCCUAUUCUACUUUUACAUAUUCAGAGAGGAAAAUUCUGUGACUUUGAUUUAAAAAAAUCAAAUAUUAAUAAUAUAUUUAAAAUUUCAUAACAUGCAAAGACCUUUGAGACAUUUGUGAAAAUAAAAACACAUUCAUCAAAAAAAAUGAGAAAAAUAAAAUAAGAAGAUGAAUUGAUUUUCCUUGAUGGAGUACAGUAUUGCGCACUAAGAACUGAAAUUCAGGACGCAGGGCUUGGGGAAGUAAUUUAUUGGAUAUUAAUCUUCCCUUUUCGCCAGCAAGGCACAACUUUACUUAGAUAUGUCUGUUGCAUCCAAAGUUUUAAAAUAUGGGUCAAGAAUAUAGCUGUGCCACGUAUCCCAGACUGCUAUUCUGCUUGGUUCAUCUUAUCACUGAAACUGGUUUUUUUAUAGCAAUGUCAAAGAUGAUAGAGUUUAGGGACUUCCCUGGUGGCACAGUGGUUAAGAAUCCACCUGCCAGUGCAGGGGACACGGGUUCGAUCCCUGGUCUGGGAAGAUCCCACAUGUCACAGAGCACCUAAGCCCGUGAGCCACAACUACUGAGCCUGCGAGCCACAACUACUGAGCCCGUGGGCCACAACAACUGAGCCCACGGGCCACAACUACUGAGGCCCUCGUGCCUAGAGC
Orcinus orca (killer whale) is the source of this 9978-nucleotide long non-coding RNA. RefSeq lists it as uncharacterized. The record is from RefSeq and is a predicted model, not a curated record. Lineage: Eukaryota; Metazoa; Chordata; Mammalia; Artiodactyla; Delphinidae. The transcript has 4 exons.